Molecule: ribosomal RNA, 466 nt
Filed under: uncultured bacterium
Lineage: Bacteria
Description: partial 16S ribosomal RNA
Rfam family: Bacterial small subunit ribosomal RNA
Source: RNAcentral
GACGAACGCUGGCGGCGUGCUUAACACAUGCAAGUCGAACGGAAAGGCCCCUUUCGGGGGGUACUCGAGUGGCGAACGGGUGAGUAACACGUGAGUAACCUGCCCUUGACAUUGGGAUAACUCCAGGAAACUGGGGCUCAUACCGGAUAGGAGCUCUUGCUGCAUGGUGGGGGUUGGAAAGUUUCGGCGGUUGGGGAUGGACUCGCGGCUUAUCAGCUUGUUGGUGGGGUAGUGGCUUACCAAGGCUUUGACGGGUAGCCGGCCUGAGAGGGUGACCGGCCACAUUGGGACUGAGAUACGGCCCAGACUCCUACGGGAGGCAGCAGUGGGGAAUAUUGCACAAUGGGCGGAAGCCUGAUGCAGCAACGCCGCGUGCGGGAUGACGGCCUUCGGGUUGUAAACCGCUUUCGCCUGUGACGAAGCGUGAGUGACGGUAAUGGGUAAAGAAGCACCGGCUAACUACGUG